This 389-nucleotide long non-coding RNA is filed under the name Gossypium raimondii (Peruvian cotton). Its description in RNAcentral is "long non-coding RNA (GRAI_LNC006867)". The record is from RNAcentral. Lineage: Eukaryota; Viridiplantae; Streptophyta; Magnoliopsida; Malvales; Malvaceae.
CUCGGUUCAGCAUCCAAGACAAUCCCGACUCGGACAUAAAAUUUAGGUGAUGUUUUCUUUCUUUAAGAGAAAGUGACAUGUACAUAAGAAUUAUAAUAGUUAUGUUGGUAUGUUAUAUAGUUUUGUUGUAAAGUAAGAUAUUAUGUGUUUUGAUGAUUAUAUUAGUAAAAUGGUAGAAAUCCUUUAUGGCAUUGGUACCAAAUUGAAAUGGCUUGAUUAGUUUUAUGUAUUAAUUAGAAAUGAUAAUAGGAUUUUUAUGAAUUAAGUUCUUAUGUCAAUAUGUCAAGUAAGAUUUAAGUAUAUAAAUGCCUUGGUUGAAAUACUGGAAUUGUGUUGGUUAUGUUUGAAAUUUUGCAGGGGGUUGUAUGUAAAAAUAAGCUGAAAUGCUG